GACGAACGCUGGCGGCGUGCCUAAUACAUGCAAGUCGAGCGGACUUUCAAGAAGCUUGCUUUUUGAAAGUUAGCGGCGGACGGGUGAGUAACACGUGGGCAACCUGCCUGCAAGACGGGGAUAACUCCGGGAAACCGGGGCUAAUACCGGAUAAUAUCUUCCUUCGCAUGAAGGAAGGUUGAAAGGCGGCGCAAGCUGCCGCUUGCAGAUGGGCCCGCGGCGCAUUAGCUAGUUGGUGAGGUAACGGCUCACCAAGGCGACGAUGCGUAGCCGACCUGAGAGGGGGAUCGGCCACACUGGGACUGAGACACGGCCCAGACUCCUACGGGAGGCAGCAGUAGGGAAUCUUCCGCAAUGGACGAAAGUCUGACGGAGCAACGCCGCGUGAGCGAAGAAGAUCUUCGGAUCGUAAAGCUCGGUUGUCAGGGAAGAACAAGUACCGUUCGAACAGGGCGGUACCUUGACGGUACCUGACCAGAAAGCCACGGCUAACUACGUG
This 499-nucleotide ribosomal RNA is filed under the name uncultured bacterium. Its description in RNAcentral is "partial 16S ribosomal RNA". It matches the Rfam family "Bacterial small subunit ribosomal RNA", at positions 28 to 507 of the family's 1533-position model. The record is from RNAcentral.